AGCGAACGCUGGCGGCAGGCUUAACACAUGCAAGUCGAGCGGGCAUCCUUGUGGUGUCAGCGGCAGACGGGUGAGUAACGCGUGGGAACGUGCCCUUCAGUUCGGAAUAACUCAGGGAAACUUGAGCUAAUACCGGAUACGUGCGAGAGCAGAAAGGUUUAUCUGCCGAAGGAUCGGCCCGCGUCUGAUUAGCUAGUUGGUGAGGUUAUGGCUCACCAAGGCGACGAUCAGUAGCUGGUCUGAGAGGAUGAUCAGCCACACUGGGACUGAGACACGGCCCAGACUCCUACGGGAGGCAGCAGUGGGGAAUAUUGGACAAUGGGGGCGACCCUGAUCCAGCCAUGCCGCGUGAGUGAUGACGGCCUUAGGGUUGUAAAGCUCUUUUCUCCGGGACGAUAAUGACGGUACCGGAGGAAUAAGCCCCGGCUAACUUCGUG
RNAcentral lists this ribosomal RNA (437 nucleotides) under uncultured bacterium. RNAcentral describes it as "partial 16S ribosomal RNA". It matches the Rfam family "Bacterial small subunit ribosomal RNA", at positions 29 to 507 of the family's 1533-position model. The record is from RNAcentral.